AUUGAACGCUGGCGGCAGGCUUAACACAUGCAAGUCGAGCGGGGUGAUGGUGCUUGCACUAUCACUUAGCGGCGGACGGGUGAGUAAUGCUUAGGAAUCUGCCUAUUAGUGGGGGACAACAUCUCGAAAGGGAUGCUAAUACCGCAUACGUCCUACGGGAGAAAGCAGGGGAUCACUUGUGACCUUGCGCUACUAGAUGAGCGUAAGUCGGAUUAGCUAGUUGGUGGGGUAAAGGCCUACCAAGGCGACGAUCUAUAGCGGGUCUGAGAGGAUGAUCCGCCACACUGGGACUGAGACACGGCCCAGACUCCUACGGGAGGCAGCAGUGGGGAAUAUUGGACAAUGGGGGGAACCCUGAUCCAGCCAUGCCGCGUGUGUGAAGUAGGCCUUAUGGUUGUAAAGCACUUUAAGCGAGGAGGAGGCUCUUUUGGUUAAUACCCAAGAUGAGUGGACGUUACUCGCAGAAUAAGCACCGGCUAACUCUGUGCCAGCCGCCGCCGUAA
RNAcentral lists this ribosomal RNA (503 nucleotides) under uncultured bacterium. Its description in RNAcentral is "partial 16S ribosomal RNA". It matches the Rfam family "Bacterial small subunit ribosomal RNA", at positions 30 to 523 of the family's 1533-position model. The record is from RNAcentral.